UACGUAGGCAGCGAGCGUUGUUCGGAGUUACUGGGCGUAAAGGGUGUGUAGGCGGUUGUUUAAGUUUGGGGUGAAAUCUCCCGGCUCAACUGGGAGGGUGCGCCGAAUACUGAAUGACUUCGAGUACGGGAGAGGUGAGUGGAAUUCCUGGUGUAGCGGUGAAAUGCGUAGAUAUCAGGAGGAACACCGGUGGUGUAGACGGCUCACUGGACCGUAACUGACGCUGAGACACGAAAGCGUGGGUAGCAAACAGG
This 254-nucleotide ribosomal RNA is filed under the name uncultured bacterium. RNAcentral's name for it is "partial 16S ribosomal RNA". It matches the Rfam family "Bacterial small subunit ribosomal RNA", at positions 524 to 776 of the family's 1533-position model. The record is from RNAcentral.